UCCGAUCUGUUCCCUACCUCUCCCUUUUAUCGAGUGGUGCGGUUCUUCCUCUACGUGGCUCCUCAGGCUUGGACAUGGAAUUCAUCCCGCGUGUUUUCUCCCUACGGCGGUUCUUCUUACUCUCGUCCCCAAAUUCGACUCAAAGAAGGUACAAUGAUGGGUAAAAAAAUUUUGGGUUUGUUGUUAUGUUGAAAUGCUUGCGCACAAAAUGAAGGUACAAUCAUGGGUAAAAAAAUUUUGGGUUUGUUGUUAUGUUGAAAUGCUUGCGCACAAAAUUUCGGAUAGGAUUUUCUGAAUGAAGUUCAGCGGUCGAAUCCGAAUAACAAGGAAAAUUUUCGGGGUUUCCUUUCCCUCUAUCGUCCAGAAUCUCAUUGUCUCCGGCUUCUCUGUCCAGAAGCUGCCCAAGUCCACCAUCAUAGCCUUCAAUGCAGAGUCGCAUGCCACAGCCAACCAGCGCAACUCAGCCGGUUUCUCGUGCUAUAUUUUGGAUUUAAAAGACCAGCUUUUCAGACUUUGGUCUUCACAGAUCGUGCUUGAUGAAAAUAUUCAUUGGAAGCCUAAUCGUUCUCAUUACUAAGUUGUUGUCCAUAGCUGAGUAUUGAAUAAGUUCCUUCUAACAAGUUCCUUAUAUGUUGAGUUGUAGCUAUGUUGUCAAAUGCUAUUUGGGGCUUCUGCCUAGGUUAUCCUAGGCUGUCAGGCUUGUCUAAUUGCUUAAGCUAGUCAGCUUCAGGUGAAUUGUAAUUAUAGAUUUAGCAGUUAGCAUUUAUGAAAUGGUAAGGUUUUGCGUGCUCUAUGACUUUGAAAAGCAUUGACAUGAGGUUCCUACCACCACCAGUUCCAUUCUUUUCUUUGCUGAUGGUUCUUUGACAUGCAGAGAAUCAGUCUAAUGCCUUGUGCUUUUUUAUUUGAUAAAGCAAUCAGUGGUCUACAAGUAUGUUUCUGAGUAAAGAAAAGUAGGAGUUUCAAUUAAAAUGUCAAUCUGAAGGCUACUGAUAACUCACUGCAUGUUUUCUGAGGAAAUAGAAGAGGUUGAGGGAUGGUAAAAAUAUACAGCAAAGGCAGAGCUACCCCAGACUUUGUGGCGUAAAAAAUAUUAUGCCCUUUAAAAAAAUAUUAUGCUCUAUAACAGCUGCCUACUGUGAAAAAUUCUGUUUUCAUUUUCUGCAACAAAGAUGGAAGUUAAGGUCGGUACAGGAGCAGAAGUUGUGAAUUUGUCAGGUAACAGAUUAGGUUCAGUGACAAGGCAGUUGGCCGUCGAGGCAUAGGUGUUUUGAGACUGGAAGAAGCCCUUAAAAGCUUUAGUUCCUUGAGAAUUAAGGAGCAUGAAGAUGUCCAUGCGAAAGCUGGUCGUCCAGAGUGGUGGCCGGCAGAGUGGGGUCAUGAGCAGGAAUAAGACUCAGACGUUGUUUAUAGCUGUCCCUAGUUCUCAUCCUUUUUAUUUAACACCCUUCCCUUGUAAACUGAUGCUGUGAAUUGUGAAAGUUGGCGACCUCCCCAGCUAGCGCAUUGAUGGGCGUCACGGGUGGGAGAGAUGAAAGUUAAGAUAUCAAUUUUGUACCGUGAUCA
Nymphaea colorata (pocket water lily) is the source of this 1566-nucleotide RNA transcript. RefSeq lists it as uncharacterized. The record is from RefSeq and is a predicted model, not a curated record. NCBI's taxonomy places the organism in Eukaryota, Viridiplantae, Streptophyta, Magnoliopsida, Nymphaeales, Nymphaeaceae. The transcript has 2 exons.